Molecule: ribosomal RNA, 463 nt
Filed under: Escherichia coli
Lineage: Bacteria; Pseudomonadati; Pseudomonadota; Gammaproteobacteria; Enterobacterales; Enterobacteriaceae
Description: bacterial SSU rRNA
Rfam family: Bacterial small subunit ribosomal RNA
Source: RNAcentral
AAAUUGAAGAGUUUGAUCAUGGCUCAGAUUGAACGCUGGCGGCAGGCCUAACACAUGCAAGUCGAACGGUAACAGGAAGCGCUUGCUGCUUCGCUGACGAGUGGCGGACGGGUGAGUAAUGUCUGGGAAACUGCCUGAUGGAGGGGGAUAACUACUGGAAACGGUAGCUAAUACCGCAUAACGUCGCAAGACCAAAGAGGGGGACCUUCGGGCCUCUUGCCAUCGGAUGUGCCCAGAUGGGAUUAGCUUGUUGGUGGGGUAACGGCUCACCAAGGCGACGAUCCCUAGCUGGUCUGAGAGGAUGACCAGCCACACUGGAACUGAGACACGGUCCAGACUCCUACGGGAGGCAGCAGUGGGGAAUAUUGCACAAUGGGCGCAAGCCUGAUGCAGCCAUGCCGCGUGUAUGAAGAAGGCCUUCGGGUUGUAAAGUACUUUCAGCGGGGAGGAAGGGAGUAAAGUU